UGAUGGACAUGCGUUGGAUAGNNUGNUUGGCGGGGCACGGCCCCACCAAGGCGACGAUCCAUAGGGGUUUUGAGAGGAAGUUCCCCACCAUUGGUAUUGAGACACUGACCAAAUUCUACGGGGAGGCAGCAGUGAGGCAUAUUGUCAAUGGGGCGGAAGCCUGAACCAGCCAAGUCGCGUGAAGGAUGAAGGUAUUAUGUAUUGUAACUUCUUUAGCUGUGGAGACAUAAGGUGGUCGAGACCACCGAUGCUAGUACACAGAGAAUAAGGAUCGGCUAACUCCGUGCCAGCAGCCGCGGUAAUACGGAGGAUCCGAGCGUUAUCCGGAUUCAUUGGGUUUAAAGGGUGCGCAGGCGGUGCCUUAAGUCAGCGGUAAAAUCGUGGGGCUCAACCCCAUCCCGCCGUUGAUACUGGGGCACUUGAUUACGGUCGAGGCAGGCGGAAUUCGUCGUGUAGCGGUGAAAUGCAUAGAUAUGACGAAGAACACCGAUUGCGUAGGCAGCCUACCAGGCCGUUAAUGACGCUCAUGCACGAAAGUGCGGGGAUCGAACA
RNAcentral lists this ribosomal RNA (552 nucleotides) under uncultured bacterium. Its description in RNAcentral is "bacterial SSU rRNA". It matches the Rfam family "Bacterial small subunit ribosomal RNA", at positions 223 to 774 of the family's 1533-position model. The record is from RNAcentral.